AUUGAACGCUGGCGGCAGGCCUAACACAUGCAAGUCGAGCGGAUGAAGGGAGCUUGCUCCUGGAUUCAGCGGCGGACGGGUGAGUAAUGCCUAGGAAUCUGCCUGGUAGUGGGGGAUAACGUCCGGAAACGGGCGCUAAUACCGCAUACGUCCUGAGGGAGAAAGUGGGGGAUCUUCGGACCUCACGCUAUCAGAUGAGCCUAGGUCGGAUUAGCUAGUUGGUGGGGUAAAGGCCUACCAAGGCGACGAUCCGUAACUGGUCUGAGAGGAUGAUCAGUCAAACUGAAACGGAGAGCGGGGCCAGCCCCCAACGGGAGGCAGCAGUGGGGAUAAUUGGAAAAGGGGUGAAAGCCUGAACCAGCCGUGCCGCGUGGGGGAAAAAGGCUUUCUGAUUGUAAAGCACUUUAAGUUGGUAGGAAGGACAAUAAGUUAAUACCUUCCUGUUUGGACGUUACCAACAAAAAAGGCACCGGCCAAUUUCGG
This 483-nucleotide ribosomal RNA is filed under the name uncultured bacterium. RNAcentral's name for it is "partial 16S ribosomal RNA". It matches the Rfam family "Bacterial small subunit ribosomal RNA", at positions 30 to 506 of the family's 1533-position model. The record is from RNAcentral.